Molecule: transfer RNA, 77 nt
Filed under: Patescibacteria group bacterium
Lineage: Bacteria
Description: tRNA-Ala
Rfam family: tRNA
About the family: Transfer RNA (tRNA) molecules are approximately 80 nucleotides in length.
Source: RNAcentral
GGGUCCAUGGAGGUAAUGGCUAACCUCGCGAGGUUUGCCACCCCGAGAUGCGGGUUCGAUUCCCGCUGGAUCCACCA